Molecule: ribosomal RNA, 467 nt
Filed under: uncultured bacterium
Lineage: Bacteria
Description: partial 16S ribosomal RNA
Rfam family: Bacterial small subunit ribosomal RNA
Source: RNAcentral
GAUGAACGCUGGCGGCGUGCUUAACACAUGCAAGUCGAACGGAAAGGCCUCUGCUUGCAGGGGUACUCGAGUGGCGAACGGGUGAGUAACACGUGGGUGAUCUGCCCUGCACUUCGGGAUAAGCCUGGGAAACUGGGUCUAAUACCGGAUAGGACAAUGGGUUGGAUGCUGUUGUGGAAAGUUUUUCGGUGUGGGAUGAGCUCGCGGCCUAUCAGCUUGUUGGUGGGGUAAUGGCCUACCAAGGCGUCGACGGGUAGCCGGCCUGAGAGGAUGUAAGGACACAUUGGAACUGAGAUACGGCCCAGACUCGGACGGGAGGCAGCAGGGGGGAAUAUUGCACAAUGGGCGCAAGCCUGAUGCAGCGACGCCGCGUGGGGGAUGACGGCCUUCGGGUUGUAAGAUCCUUUCGCUAGGGACGAAGCGUUUUUGUGACGGUACCUGGAGAAGAAGCACCGGCUAACUACGUG